This 253-nucleotide ribosomal RNA is filed under the name uncultured bacterium. RNAcentral describes it as "partial 16S ribosomal RNA". It matches the Rfam family "Bacterial small subunit ribosomal RNA", at positions 524 to 776 of the family's 1533-position model. The record is from RNAcentral.
GACGGAGCAUGCAAGCGUUAUCCGGAAUUAUUGGGCGUAAAGCGUACGUAGGCGGCUUAUCAAUUCUGGGGUCAACGACCACAGCUUAACUGUGGAAAGGCCUUGGAAACUGGUGAGCUGGAUUGAGGUAGGGGUUGCGGGAAUUCCCGGUGUAGCGGUGAAAUGCGUAGAUAUCGGGAAGAACACCUGAGGCGAAAGCGCGCGACUGGGCCUUAACUGACGCUGAGGUACGAAAGCUAGGGGAGCGAAUGGG